AUAGACUUUUGCCAAUGCUAUUAGGUGGAUGACUUGGCUUAAGACGCUGAAGAAGGGCAUGACAAGCUAUGAAAUGUCUCGGCAAGAUGCAUGUAAUCUUUGAACCGAGAAUUCCUGAAUGCGACUUCGCAAUUGAUCCGAAAGGAUGGGGAAUGCAGGGAAUUGAAACGUCUUAGUACCUGCAAGAAAAGAAAUCAAUUGAGAUGCUGCUAGUAAGAGCGACUGAACACAGCAAAAGGCAAACCGAAUUUCUUUCUGAAAGGGAAGAAAAAUGUGGUGUUACAGACUGCUCAUAUAAAUCCUCUUUAGGGAACUCAAACUUUCCUGGAAAGGAAGGCCAAAGAGAGUGAUAGCCUCGUAGAGGCAACUUAGAAGGAUUUGAGCAGUAUCUUGAGUAUCAUUCAUCGGAUAUUGAAUGAGAAUAUGGGAGGCAUCAAUUUCCAACCUUAAAUACUUCUUAAGUCCGAUAGCGAAUAAAGUACUAUGAGGGAACGUUGAAAAGAACCCUCGACCGGAAGUUAAAAGAGCCUGAAACCUAAUAGCUAUAGUAAGGUACUGCUCUAUGGAGUUGUACCGUUCGUUUCGAAUAACGAGCCAGGGAGUUUGUUCGAGUGGCGAGGAUAAUCUUUUUGAGCAUCCGAAGCGAAAGCGAUAUGCCUGUAGCUUGCGAGAGGCGUGGUAUGAAAGUGCCUGAAGUCACUCGGGCUUGACCCGAAGCCGGGCGAUCUAGCCCUGGGUAAGGUGAAGUGUGGGUAAAACCACAUGAAGGCCUGAAGAGGUUCUACGAGCAAGUGUUCUUCUAACCUGGGGUUAGGGGUGAAAAGCCAAUCGAGCUCGGCGAUAGCUGGUUCCUACCGAAUUUGGCCGCAGUCAAGUCUUGAAGAAGAGUGCUAAGAUUGUAGAGAUACGGGUUGAAGAUUUGGGUCUCGAAAGAGAUCGAUUUUCUGUCCAACUCCGAAUAUCUUAGCCUUGUAGAUUUCAGGAGACGGGGAGUCUUGGGGUAAACUUGACUUCCGAAAGGGGAACAACCCAGACUGCAGUUAAGGUCCCUAAUAUUGACUAAGUGUUAAAGGCAGAAAAGUGUCCAUCGUCAAAGACAGCGAGGAGGUUGGCUCAGAAGCAGCCACCCUUUAAAAAGUGCGUAACAGCUUACUCGUCAAGAUGAUGGGCCUUGAAAAUGGACGGGGCUAAGUCAAUUACCGAUACUGCAGAAUACCCAAAAGGUAUUUAGUAGGUAGGCGUUCUGUAAGGGUAGAAGUAUUUUCGUAAGAAAAUAUGCACCUUAUAGAAAUGAGAAUCCUGGAGGUAGUAGGAUCGUAGCACUGUUAGAAUCAGUGCCACCGAAAGGGCAAGGGUUCCUUGACAAUACAAAUUAGUCAAGGGUUAGUCGAUCCUAACUAAGUUCAUAAAUUGAACAAUAGGAAAGGGAAAAAGGUUAAUAUUCCUUUACCAUCUGAAUAUGCGCGGCAACGCAAGUCUAUCAAUUAACGCAUCCGGUUAGGUUAACAUAAGCUACCACUUAUGUCAACUAAAACAAAUCAAGGGAGUAUCGUAAUGAUGAGAACUUGAUUAAGUUUAGGAUGAGUGCCUCUUUGAGGCAUUUAACCAAUACCCGGUGCCCGUGAAAAGAUUGAUGGAAAAAAUUUCAGAUGAUCGUACCGAGAACCAGCACAGGUGCCCCUAGGUGAGAAGCCUAAGGUGAGAAGGUGUAAUGUAGUUGAGGGAACUCGGCAAAUUGGCUCCGUACCUUUGGUAUAAGGAGUCCCUGCGAUUGUUGCUAAGCAAGCAAUUGCAGGGUGCAAUAACAAAGUGGGUCCGACUGUUUAACAAAAACUUAACUGACUGCAAGCCUGUAAAGGUGUGUAUAGUCAGUGACGUCUGCCCAGUGCCUGUACUUUAAACCUUCAUUCAAGAGGGCUAAGAGCAGGUAAACGGCGGGAGUAACUAUAACUCUCUUAAGGUAGCGUAAUACCUUGUCGUUUGAUUGACGACUUGCAUGAAUGACGUAACGAGAUCCACACUGUCCCCAACUAGAAACCUCUGAACACUCUAUACUGGUGCAAAGGCCAGUGAUCUCCAGUGGGAAGCGAAGACCCCGUGAAACUUUACUGCAGCAUGUUGUUGCAAUGUAGGUUUUGAUACGUAGUGUAGGUGGGAGUUGCUAAGGCUUAACUUUCGGGUUAAGUGUAGACAUCAAUGAAACACCACUUGUCAAAGCUUACGUUGCUCACUUCGAAAGAAGGACAUCAAUAUGUGGACAGUUUGGCUGGGGUGGCACCCGGUUGAAAAGAUAUCAACCGGGCCCAAUGGUUGACUCAAGCGGGUCAGAAAUCCGCUGCAGAGUGCAAGGGCAAAAGUCAGCCUGACUGAAUUCAUAACAAGAUUGUAUUCAGAGCAGAAAUGCGGGCCUAGCGAACCUCUAUGUCCUCCUUGAUGGGGGCUAGAGAUGACCGAAAAGUUACUCCGGGGAUAACAGAGUUGUCGCGCCCGAGAGUUCACAUCGACGGCGCGGCUUGCUACAUCGAUGUCGGCUCCUCCUAUCCUGGCUGUGCAGAAGCAGCCAAGGGUGCGGGUGUUCACCGAUUAAAAGGGGUCGUGAGCUGGGUUCAGAACGCUGUGAGGCAGUUUGUUUGAUAUCUACUGGAGAUGUUGAUGUCUGAUAGGAAGGAAGCUAUAGUACGAGAGGAACUGGCUUUCGAGGCCUCUGGUCUACCUGUUAUCUGGGAAGGUAAGCAGGGCAGCUACGCCUUACAAGGAUAAGUGCUGAAAGCAUCUAAGCACGAAGCCUUCCUAAAAAAUAGACAUCAUAGAACACUCAUAAAAUAUGAGUUUGAUGGAGCAGAUGUGUAAGCACGAAGCCUCGGCGACGUGUUCAGCAUGCUGCUUCCAACAGUUCAUCCUUAAGUCUAU
Molecule: ribosomal RNA, 2910 nt
Filed under: Candidatus Woesearchaeota archaeon
Lineage: Archaea; Nanobdellati; Candidatus Woesearchaeota
Description: 23S ribosomal RNA
Rfam family: Archaeal large subunit ribosomal RNA
Source: RNAcentral